CUUCAAAAAUGUGCGUACAGAAUCGCUGUUUCCCUUUGCAUCAUUAUCUUUAUUUUAAAUGUGUAUAAAUGUAAAAUAUCUGUCCAUGGAUGUAAUACUACCUAAUGACAAUAGCCAACUGCUGUGCUAUUUUGAUGCGACAUUUUCUACAAAUGUUAAGUGGAUAUACGAACAGAGGAUGGCGGUGAUGUCCAAGUGUUAUCAGCGAGUUCAUUGACCUCCAAUAUGUAAAUAGACACAAAAAUUGUGUUUCUGUGUUAACUGCUAAAACGGCCAUGGACAAUACAAUGCAACAGUACACCUUCCAUCCUUGAACUUUAAGUUCCGUUAACUGGCAACCGAAGAAAAUAGCAUAACAGAAGCAGCAACAGCAAGAAAAGGACAAAGUAAUGAGAGAUAUUAAUUCAGCCACAGAGGUUCAGUUUCGAGAUUUAACUAACAACCCAAUCAGUGAGUUUAUGAAGGAGUCUUUUGUACUGUGAAUAUACAUUAUGUCUAUGUUGAAGGAGUGGCUGGUGCCAAAGUCAGGGUGGAAGAUGGUCAUUCAAACUGUCGGCCUAGACCAGAUUCAUUUGUGAACUCGGUGAUAAGGUUUAGUAAAUCAUGUAGCUUCUUGGUAUAAUUCAUUUCCCUGUUUUCUUUGUCCAAUUCAUGGCG
Gigantopelta aegis is the source of this 657-nucleotide long non-coding RNA. RefSeq lists it as uncharacterized. The transcript has 3 exons. The record is from RefSeq and is a predicted model, not a curated record. NCBI's taxonomy places the organism in Eukaryota, Metazoa, Mollusca, Gastropoda, Neomphalida, Peltospiridae.